Molecule: ribosomal RNA, 913 nt
Filed under: uncultured crenarchaeote
Lineage: Archaea; Thermoproteati; Thermoproteota
Description: bacterial SSU rRNA
Rfam family: Archaeal small subunit ribosomal RNA
Source: RNAcentral
UUCCGGUUGAUCCUGCCGGACCUGACUGCUAUCGGAUUGGUACUAAGCCAUGCGAGUCGUUGUAGCAAUACAAGGCGGACGGCUCAGUAACACAUAGUCAACCUAACCUAUGGACGUGGAUAACCUCGGGAAACUGAGAAUAAACCGCGAUAGAUCAUUAUGCCUGGAAUGGCUUAUGGUUCAAACAAUUUAUUGCCGUAGGAUGGGACUGCGGCCUAUCAGCUUGUUGGUGAGGUAAUGGCCCACCAAGGCUAUAACAGGUACGGGCUCUGAGAGGAGAAGCCCGGAGAUGGGUACUGAGACACGGACCCAGGCCCUAUGGGGCGCAGCAGGCGAGAAACCUUAGCAAUGUGCGAAAGCACGACUAGGUUAAUCCGAGUGAUUUCUGUUGAAGAAAUCUUUUGUCAGUCGUAAAACCACAGACGAAUAAGGGGUGGGCAAGUCUGGUGUCAGCCGCCGCGGUAAUACCAGCACCUCGAGUGGUCAGGAGGUUUAUUGGGCCUAAAGCAUCCGUAGCCGGCUUUGCAAGUCUCCGGUUAAAUCCAGCUGCUCAACAGAUGGGCUGCCGGAGAUACUACAAAGCUAGGGAGCGGGAGAGGUAGACGGUAUUCGGUGGGUAGGGGUAAAAUCCACUGAUCCAUCGAGGACCACCAGUGGCGAAGGCGGUCUACCAGAACGCGUUCGACGGUGAGGGAUGAAAGCUGGGGGAGCAAACCGGAUUAGAUACCCGGGUAGUCCCAGCUGUAAACGAUGCAAACUCGGUGAUGCAUUGGCUUAUAGCCGAUGCAGUGCCGCAGGGAAGCCGUUAAGUUUGCCGCCUGGGAAGUACGGACGCAAGUCUGAAACUUAAAGGAAUUGGCGGGGGAGCACCACAAGGGGUGAAGCCUGCGGUUCAAUUGGAUUCAACGCCGGA